AAUCUUUCUAAAGAAAUAUUCACACAUGUGCACAGAGCUGUGUGUACAAUAAUGAGAGGAACAAACAACUGGGGAAUGUUUGCAAAGGUUUGUUAACUGUCAGUGACUGAUAGAGGGGAAUCGGAUGAGGGGAGUACAUGCUGAACAGGAAACAGAGUGAGGGGGGCUUGACCAGGAUGCACGGCAAUGGGAAAAGCAGAUGGGAGAUGCUUAUAAUGGUACUUGGUGUGUGUGUGUGUGUGUGUGUGUUGUGUGGUGUGUAAAUGCAGAGGAAGAAGUCUGAAAUUAAACACUCAGGACUGCCCUCAGUAGUCACAUCUGGGGAGAGAUGAGGAUAGUGCUGUUCUAUGCAGAGAAUACAUGACAAUACUUGUUUUCUGACGUAGGUGCAUGGAUACACAAACCGAAAUAUGCAUUAAGUAUGUCUUGCUCAUCAUUGAAAAGGAUAGUAUCUAACAGAAUGGCACAGUGUAAGAAAAUACAAUGGAAACACUAACAUCGAACUCUUGGCACACUAAGAAAAAUGACGCUCAACUUUUCACUGUUGUGAACACUUGCUUUCACUUGCUAUGCACCUGAUGACGAG
Molecule: long non-coding RNA, 586 nt
Filed under: Homo sapiens (human)
Lineage: Eukaryota; Metazoa; Chordata; Mammalia; Primates; Hominidae
Description: HSALNT0407614
Source: RNAcentral